AACGAACGCUGGCGGCAGGCUUAACACAUGCAAGUCGAGCGCCCCGCAAGGGGAGCGGCAGACGGGUGAGUAACGCGUGGGAACGUACCUUUUGGUUCGGAACAACUUCGGGAAACUGGUGCCAAUACCGGAUAAGCCCUAACGAGGAAAGAUUUAUCGCCGAAAGAUCGGCCCGCGUCUGAUUAGCUAGUUGGUGAGGUAACGGCUCACCAAGGCGACGAUCAGUAGCUGGUCUGAGAGGAUGAUCAGCCACACUGGGACUGAGACACGGCCCAGACUCCUACGGGAGGCAGAAGUGGGGAAUAUUGGACAAUGGGCGCAAGCCUGAUCCAGCCAUGCCGCGUGAGUGAUGAAGGCCUUAGGGUUGUAAAGCUCUGUUGUCCGGUAAGAUAAUGACUGUACCGGAAGAAUAAGCCCCGGCUAACUUCGUG
Molecule: ribosomal RNA, 431 nt
Filed under: uncultured bacterium
Lineage: Bacteria
Description: partial 16S ribosomal RNA
Rfam family: Bacterial small subunit ribosomal RNA
Source: RNAcentral